GAGGAAUUAAAAAGCAUAUUAAUUUUAAUAUGAUACAGAAAAUGUAUUACAAUAGUAAUGUUGCAAAAAAAUAAUUUCUUCAUAUUGUUUUUUCCAUAAUAAAUAUGGAAGAAUAUAAAAAUAUAAUUUUAAUAUGAUUAUAAAAGUGUACUAUGAAGGUAUGGAUGAAGAUAUGAGAAAUAAAAGGAGGUUAAUAUUAAUUUUUAAUGAUACAUUGCAACAAUGAUCUUGCAUAGUUUUUGAAAUUAAAAUAUUGCAAUGAAUUUGAAAAAAAUAUAAAAAUAUAAUAUAUUUAAAUAAAUGUGUGGAUGAAAAUUGAAUAAAAAUGUUCAAUUAUAAAUUUUCAUUUGAAGAAAUAUUUUAGAGAUUUUAUCAAAAUAAUAGGAUAUUGUUAGAUCAACGAUUAAUUGGUUUUUUUUUCUAUUCAUUAGAUCUAUUCUUUAACUUAUUUUGGGGUUGCACGAAGGUAUUUGGAACAAAUCUAAAAAUAAAGAAUAUACAUAAUACCACGAUUUAGUCACUACAAUUACACGACCUAGAUUCCAUUAUACUGCUAUGGGAUAAAUUGGAUAAGAGAAGCGAGGAAACGCAAUUUAGCCUCUAAACACGCCUCCAGGAAUUAUUACAAAAUAACUGGAUGAAUAUUCUACACAGAAAUAGUUUAUAAUAUCAAAUAUAUAUUUUGCAAUUGAACAACCCCCUUUGAUAUACCAAAAUAUUUCCACGUUCAACAGAAUGUAGGUCACAAGAAAUAUAAUGACAGCUCUCAAAAUUG
Molecule: long non-coding RNA, 775 nt
Organism: Apis dorsata (giant honeybee)
Lineage: Eukaryota; Metazoa; Arthropoda; Insecta; Hymenoptera; Apidae
Exons: 2
Source: RefSeq, a predicted model, not a curated record